GACGAACGCUGGCGGCGUGCUUAACACAUGCAAGUCGAGCGUGAUUUUUGUGGAAAUUCUUUCGGGAAUGGAAAUGAAAUGAAAGUGGCGAACGGGUGAGUAACACGUGAGCAACCUACCUUACACAGGGGGAUAGCCGUUGGAAACGACGAUUAAUACCGCAUGAGACCACAGAAUCGCAUGAUAUAGGGGUCAAAGAUUUAUCGGUGUAAGAAGGGCUCGCGUCUGAUUAGCUAGUUGGAAGGGUAAAGGCCUACCAAGGCGACGAUCAGUAGCCGGUCUGAGAGGAUGAACGGCCACAUUGGAACUGAGACACGGUCCAAACUCCUACGGGAGGCAGCAGUGGGGAAUAUUGCACAAUGGGGGGAACCCUGAUGCAGCGACGCCGCGUGAGCGAAGAAGGUUUUCGAAUCGUAAAGCUCUGUCCUAUGAGAAGAUAAUGACGGUAUCAUAGGAGGAAGCCCCGGCUAAAUACGUGCCAGCAGCCGCGGUAAUACGUAUGGGGCGAGCGUUGUCCGGAAUUAUUGGGCGUAAAGGGUACGUAGGCGGUUUUUUAAGUCAGGUGUGAAAGCGUGAGGCUUAACCUCAUUAAGCACUUGAAACUGGAAGACUUGAGUGAAGGAGAGGAAAGUGGAAUUCCUAGUGUAGCGGUGAAAUGCGUAGAUAUUAGGAGGAAUACCGGUGGCGAAGGCGACUUUCUGGACUUUUACUGACGCUCAGGUACGAAAGCGUGGGGAGCAAACAGG
This 746-nucleotide ribosomal RNA is filed under the name uncultured Parvimonas sp. Its description in RNAcentral is "bacterial SSU rRNA". It matches the Rfam family "Bacterial small subunit ribosomal RNA", at positions 28 to 776 of the family's 1533-position model. Lineage: Bacteria; Bacillati; Bacillota; Tissierellia; Tissierellales; Peptoniphilaceae. The record is from RNAcentral.